Molecule: ribosomal RNA, 414 nt
Filed under: Serratia sp. S1.MAC.003
Lineage: Bacteria; Pseudomonadati; Pseudomonadota; Gammaproteobacteria; Enterobacterales; Yersiniaceae
Description: bacterial SSU rRNA
Rfam family: Bacterial small subunit ribosomal RNA
Source: RNAcentral
CACAAGGAGAGCUUGCUCUCUGGGUGACGAGCGGCGGUACAGGGUGAGUAAUGUCUGGGAAACUGCCUGAUGGAGGGGCGUAUAACUACUGGAAACGGUAGCUAAUACCGCAUAACGUCUUCGGACCAAAGUGGGGGACCUUCGGGCCUCACGCCAUCAGAUGUGCCCAGAUGGGAUUAGCUAGUAGGUGGGGUAAUGGCUCACCUAGGCGACGAUCCCUAGCUGGUCUGAGAGGAUGACCAGCCACACUGGAACUGAGACACGGUCCAGACUCCUACGGGAGGCAGCAGUGGGGAAUAUUGCACAAUGGGCGCAAGCCUGAUGCAGCCAUGCCGCGUGUGUGAAGAAGGCCUUCGGUGUUGUAAAGCACAUUGUCAGCGAGGAGGAAGGGUGGUGUGUUAAUAGCGCAUCACA